AAUAUUGGACAAGGGGGGAAACCCUACUCCACCCAUGCCGCGUGUGUGAAGAAGGUAUUCGGAUUGUAAAGUACUUUACGUUGGGAGGAAGGGUUGUUGGCUAAUAUCUAGCAAGCUUGACGUUACCGACAGAAUAAGCACCGGCUAACUCUGUGCCAGCAGCCGCGGUAAUACAGAGGGUGCAAGCGUUAAUCGGAAUUACUGGGCGUAAAACGGGCGUAGGUGGUUCAGUAAGAUGGGUGUGAAAUACCCGGGCUUAACCUGGGAACUGCUUUCAUAACUGCUGAGCUAGAGUACGGUAGAGGGUAGUGGAAUUUCCUGUGUAGCGGUGAAAUGCGUAGAUAUAGGAAGGAGCACCAGUGGCGAAGGCGACUACCUGGACUGAUACUGACACUGAGGUGCGAAAGCGUGGGGAGCAAACA
RNAcentral lists this ribosomal RNA (422 nucleotides) under uncultured bacterium. RNAcentral's name for it is "partial 16S ribosomal RNA". It matches the Rfam family "Bacterial small subunit ribosomal RNA", at positions 360 to 774 of the family's 1533-position model. The record is from RNAcentral.